This 456-nucleotide ribosomal RNA is filed under the name uncultured bacterium. Its description in RNAcentral is "partial 16S ribosomal RNA". It matches the Rfam family "Bacterial small subunit ribosomal RNA", at positions 355 to 799 of the family's 1533-position model. The record is from RNAcentral.
UGGGGAAUUUUGGACAAUGGGCGCAAGCCUGAUCCAGCCAUGCCGCGUGCGGGAAGAAGGCCUUCGGGUUGUAAACCGCUUUUGUCAGGGAAGAAAUCUUCUGAGUUAAUACCUCGGGAGGAUGACGGUACCUGAAGAAUAAGCACCGGCUAACUACGUGCCAGCAGCCGCGGUAAUACGUAGGGUGCAAGCGUUAAUCGGAAUUACUGGGCGUAAAGCGUGCGCAGGCGGUUUUGUAAGACAGAGGUGAAAUCCCCGGGCUCAACCUGGGAACUGCCUUUGUGACUGCAAGGCUUGAGUGCGGCAGAGGGGGGAAUGGAAUUCCGCGUGUAGCAGUGAAAUUGCGUAGAUAUGCGGAGGAACACCGAUGGCGAAGGCAAUCCCCUGGGCCUGCACUGACGGCUUCAUGCACGAAAGCGUGGGGAGCAAACAGGAUUAGAUACCCUGGUAGUCACG